RNAcentral lists this ribosomal RNA (2041 nucleotides) under Streptococcus equi. RNAcentral's name for it is "partial 23S ribosomal RNA". It matches the Rfam family "Bacterial large subunit ribosomal RNA", at positions 1 to 2040 of the family's 2925-position model. The record is from RNAcentral. Lineage: Bacteria; Bacillati; Bacillota; Bacilli; Lactobacillales; Streptococcaceae.
AGAUUAAGUUAUUAAGGGCGCACGGUGGAUGCCUUGGCACUAGAAGCCGACGAAGGACGUUACUAACGACGAUAUGCUUUGGGUAGCUGUAAGUAAGCGUUGAUCCAGAGAUUUCCGAAUGGGGGAACCCAGCACGAGUUAUGUCGUGUUAUCGACAAGUGAAUUCAUAGCUUGUCAGAAGGCAGACCCGGAGAACUGAAACAUCUUAGUACCCGGAGGAAGAGAAAGAAAAAUCGAUUCCCUGAGUAGCGGCGAGCGAAACGGGAAGAGCCCAAACCAAUAAGCUUGCUUAUUGGGGUUGUAGGACACUCUAUACGGAGUUACAAAGGAAUAUGUUAGACGAAUCAUCUGGAAAGUUGAAUCAAAGAAGGUAAUAAUCCUGUAGUUGAAAAUAUAUUCUCUCUUGAGUGGAUCCUGAGUACGACGGAGCACGUGAAAUUCCGUCGGAAUCUGGGAGGACCAUCUCCUAAGGCUAAAUACUCUCUAGUGACCGAUAGUGAACCAGUACCGUGAGGGAAAGGUGAAAAGUACCCCGGAAGGGGAGUGAAAGAGAACUUGAAACCGUGUGCUUACAAGUAGUCAGAGCCCGUUAAUGGGUGAUGGCGUGCCUUUUGUAGAAUGAACCGGCGAGUUACGAUCUGAUGCAAGGUUAAGCAGGAAAUGUGGAGCCGUAGCGAAAGCGAGUCUGAAUAGGGCGUUGAGUAUUUGGUCGUAGACCCGAAACCAGGUGAUCUACCCAUGGUCAGGUUGAAGUUCAGGUAACACUGAAUGGAGGACCGAACCGACUUACGUUGAAAAGUGAGCGGAUGAACUGUGGGUAGCGGAGAAAUUCCAAUCGAACUUGGAGAUAGCUGGUUCUCUCCGAAAUAGCUUUAGGGCUAGCCUCAAGUGAUGAUUAUUGGAGGUAGAGCACUGUUUGGACGAGGGGCCCCUCUCGGGUUACCGAAUUCAGACAAACUCCGAAUGCCAAUUAAUUUAACUUGGGAGUCAGAACAUGGGUGAUAAGGUCCGUGUUCGAAAGGGAAACAGCCCAGACCACCAGCUAAGGUCCCAAAAUAUAUGUUAAGUGGAAAAGGAUGUGGCGUUGCCCAGACAACUAGGAUGUUGGCUUAGAAGCAGCCAUCAUUUAAAGAGUGCGUAAUAGCUCACUAGUCGAGUGACACUGCGCCGAAAAUGUACCGGGGCUAAACAUAUUACCGAAGCUGUGGAUUGUCCGUAGGACAAUGGUAGGAGAGCGUUCUAAGGGCGUUGAAGCAUGAUCGCAAGGACAUGUGGAGCGCUUAGAAGUGAGAAUGCCGGUGUGAGUAGCGAAAGACGGGUGAGAAUCCCGUCCACCGAUUGACUAAGGUUUCCAGAGGAAGGCUCGUCCGCUCUGGGUUAGUCGGGUCCUAAGCUGAGGCCGACAGGCGUAGGCGAUGGAUAACAGGUUGAUAUUCCUGUACCACCUAGCAUCGUUUUAAUCGAUGGGGGGACGCAGUAGGAUAGGCGAAGCGUACGAUUGGAUUGUACGUCUAAGCAGUGAGAUUGAGUGUUAGGCAAAUCCGGCACUCUUAAGAUUGAGCUGUGAUGGGGAGAGGAAAUUGUUUCCUCGAGUCGUUGAUUUCACACUGCCGAGAAAAGCCUCUAGAUAGAUAAUAGGUGCCCGUACCGCAAACCGACACAGGUAGUCAAGAUGAGAAUUCUAAGGUGAGCGAGCGAACUCUCGUUAAGGAACUCGGCAAAAUGACCCCGUAACUUCGGGAGAAGGGGUGCUCUUUAGGGUGCAAGCCCAGAAGAGCCGCAGUGAAUAGGCCCAAGCGACUGUUUAUCAAAAACACAGGUCUCUGCUAAACCGUAAGGUGAUGUAUAGGGGCUGACGCCUGCCCGGUGCUGGAAGGUUAAGAGGAGUGGUUAGCUUCUGCGAAGCUACGAAUCGAAGCCCCAGUAAACGGCGGCCGUAACUAUAACGGUCCUAAGGUAGCGAAAUUCCUUGUCGGGUAAGUUCCGACCCGCACGAAAGGCGUAACGAUUUGGGCACUGUCUCAACGAGAGACUCGGUGAA